Molecule: ribosomal RNA, 253 nt
Filed under: uncultured bacterium
Lineage: Bacteria
Description: partial 16S ribosomal RNA
Rfam family: Bacterial small subunit ribosomal RNA
Source: RNAcentral
UACGUAGGGUGCAAGCGUUGUCCGGAAUUAUUGGGCGUAAAGAGCUCGUAGGCGGUCUGUCGCGUCGGCUGUGAAAACCUGGGGCUUAACUCCGGGCCUGCAGCCGAUACGGGCAGACUAGAGUUCGGCAGGGGAGACUGGAAUUCCUGGUGUAGCGGUGAAAUGCGCAGAUAUCAGGAGGAACACCGAUGGCGAAGGCAGGUCUCUGGGCAUUAACUGACGCUGAGGAGCGAAAGCAUGGGGAGUGAACAGG